Molecule: ribosomal RNA, 460 nt
Filed under: uncultured bacterium
Lineage: Bacteria
Description: partial 16S ribosomal RNA
Rfam family: Bacterial small subunit ribosomal RNA
Source: RNAcentral
CCUACGGGAGGCAGCAGUGAGGAAUAUUGGUCAAUGGACGGAAGCCUGAACCAGCCAAGCCGCGUGAAGGAAGACGGCCCUAUGAGUUGUAAACUUCUUUUGUACAGGGAUAAAAUUGGACACGUGUGCUUUGCUGAAAGUACUUUAUGAAUAAGGAUCGGCUAACUCCGUGCCAGCAGCCGCGGUAAUACGGAGGAUCCAAGCGUUAUCCGGAUUUAUUGGGUUUAAAGGGUGCGUAGGCGGAUUGUUAAGUUAGAGGUGAAAUGUCGGGGCUUAACUCGGGAAUUGCCAUUAAAACUGGUGGUCUUGAGUAUAGGUGAGGUAGGCGGAAUGCGUGGUGUAGCGGUGAAAUGCUUAGAGAUCACGCAGAACACCGAUUGCGAAGGCAGCUUACCAGUCUGUAUCUGACGCUGAGGCACGAAAGCGUGGGUAGCAAACAGGAUUAGAUACCCCGGUAGUC